This is a non-coding RNA of Xyrichtys novacula (pearly razorfish), 3746 nucleotides long. Lineage: Eukaryota; Metazoa; Chordata; Actinopteri; Labriformes; Labridae. The record is from the annotation of a GenBank genome assembly.
AAAAAGUCAAAGAGCGCGUAUCUGUAUAAUGUACGGUUAAAGGGCUAUUUUGCAUUUUUUGCCGAUUCGCACACAUUGGAAUGUGGCUAUCUCCUCCUAAGGCUUUCGUCCCACCGAUACCAAAUUUGCUCAGGGCAAUCUACACCCCAUGCCCAUUCAAAGUUGUAAAAAUCAUGACGCUGCACCCCACGGUUUACGUUCUAGGAGGCGCCAAAGAUGACCCAAAAAUCCACAUUCUUAAAAGUCAUUUUGGCCACUGCAGGAGUACAGAGUACUGCAGUUCUAGGGGGCGCCAAAGAUGACCCAAAAAUCCACAUUCUUAAAAGUCUUUUUGGCCACUGCAGGAGUACAGAGUACUGCAGGAUACACACACAUAUACACACACGCCAACAUACACACACACACACACACACACACACACACACACACACACACACACACACAGACACACACACACACUCAGAGUCUGUUUUUUAGCACCUGCAAAAACAUGCUGUUUACAUAUUUGACAAGAAUGCAGAGGCUUCCUUUUGCCCCUGAAAAAAAUCAAAUUUCAAACACAACUUGACUGUUCAUUUCUCCAAAAGACAACCAUGAAGCUCCAUUUCAAACCUGAAGCAGAUAGUUGGUGCAUGUGUACAGUAACCUGAGGGGAGUGAGGUGACUAUUUCUGAGGAGAACAUGAGCAGUGAAGAUUCACCUUGGAGCUAGAACAGGGACGUGCACAUGAUUAUACAGGGGCAGGGGCUCAAGUUUUUUCCAGUCAUUUAUACAAUAUGGAAAUUAAUGUGAAAUUAAACCACAAAUAUGUGUGAUGAACUGUUUUUAAAACUUAAACUUCAAAUAAAAAUUGUAAACUUCAAAACAUAUGCAAAUUUUUAACAAAGAACAUAGUAAUUUACCUCUAUUUACAUCAAAAUGCAGGCAAUGGCCCAGGCGUUCUUUGUAAAAUUAUUUACAAAACACUGUAUAGUCUCACAAAUGUCACUUUUUAUUUAUGCCACUACAAAAAAACAUGAUGUAAAUGAUGCAUGAUGUAAAACAUGAUGUAAAAAAUUUGUGUAGAUCCUCCUCUAUGUCAGUCCAUGUGUAAUUUUUCCAUAAUUCUUUGUUUUUGCAGCAUUUUUGUUCGUGUAACUGCAGAUUGUGCUGACAGUGUCUAUGGCACAAAAAAAAAAAAAACUGAAAAUGCCUCAACAUGAACCCCUGGUGGUCUCUGAGGGUGAAACCUGCUAACUGCUGCAGCUCUGUCAGCUUCAGUCUCCCAUGCAGAGCUCGGAGCGCAUGUGUGGCUCUGCACCCUUAGCAGCGUUGCUAACUCCUCAGUAAGGAAAGCCUGCUUCAUGUCAGAGUCUCUAAACUCCAGAAGAAGUCGAUAAAAGUCACUUUCUUUCUAAAAAAAGUCGUUGGGGGGUCUGAAAAGUCAUUGAAUCUAACAACAAAGUCGCUAGGUUUGCAACUACGUGUCCCAGACUGCAUCCCUGCUGAGAGUCCCUCCCUCCCUUCUCAUGUUGCAGGAAGAACGUAAGCGCCCGCCCCUUGUCAAUCAGUCACCAUAUAAUUUUGGAUUGGUUGUUGUGGUGAAGUUUUCCACCAAUAGGAGAGAUGUUGUGGUGUGUUUUUUUUUUCUUUUGGCAAGCCUUUUCCGCCUGUAAGACCUGUCGCUAAUGUCUGCAUGCUAUGUUUUCCUGUCUCAUACAGCGCUAUCGAGCGCCGAACGUGAUCAAAAUAAGCAGAAAAAAAGUAUCGCGGACAUAAUUUAUCAUAACUCUGGUUUUAUUUGGCCUAUCAACACAAUUUAAAAACUGGUAUAUAGGUUGAGGUCCUCACUUUUGAGAUAAGUUGAAACGGAGAGUCAACGAGGCUCCGUCUUGCAGCUACAUCCGGUUAAAUAUGUCAUGUGACUUGAACGCACACACACACACACACACACACACACACACACACACACACACUCAGAGUCUGGUUUUUAGCACCUGCAAAAACAUGCUAUUUACAUAUUUGACAAGAAUGCAGAGGCUCCUUUUGCCCCUGAAAAAAAUCAAAUUUCAAACACAACUUGACGGGUCAUUUCUCCAAAAGACAACCAUGAAGCUCCAUCCAAACCUGAAGCAGGCAGUUGGUGCAUGUGUACAGUAACCUGAGGGGAGUGAGGUGAGUGCUUCUGAGGAGAACAUGAGCAGUGAAGAUUCACCUUGGAGCUAGAACAGAGACGUGCACAUGAUUAUACAGGGGCAGGGGCUCAAGUUUUUUCCAGUCAUUUAUACAAUAUGGAAAUUAAUGUGAAAUUAAACCACAAAUAUGUGUGAUGAACUGUUUUUAAAACUUAAACUUCAAAUAAAAAUUGUAAACUUCAAAACAUAUGCAAAUUUUUAACAAAGAACAUAGUAAUUUACCUCUAUUUACAUCAAAAUGCAGGCAAUGGCCCAGGCGUUCUUUGUAAAAUUAUUUACAAAACACUGUAUAGUCUCACAAAUGUCACUUUUUAUUUAUGCCACUACAAAAAAACAUGAUGUAAAUGAUGCAUGAUGUAAAACAUGAUGUAAAAAAUUUGUGUAGAUCCUCCUCUAUGUCAGUCCAUGUGUAAUUUUUCCAUAAUUCUUUGUUUUUUGCAGCAUUUUUGUUAGUGUAACUGCAGAUUGUGCUGACAGUGUCUAUGGCACAAAAAAAAAAAAACUGAAAAUGCCUCAACAUGAACCCCUGGUGGUCUCUGAGGGUGAAACCUGCUAACUGCUGCAGCUCUGUCAGCUUCAGUCUCCCAUGCAGAGCUCGGAGCGCAUGUGUGGCUCUGCACCCUUAGCAGCGUUGCUAACUCCUCAGUAAGGAAAGCCUGCUUCAUGUCAGAGUCUCUAAACUCCAGAAGAAGUCGAUAAAAGUCACUUUCUUUCUAAAAAAAAGUCGUUGGGGGGUCUGAAAAGUCAUUGAAUCUAACAACAAAGUCGCUAGGUUUGCAACUACGUGUCCCAGACUGCAUCCCUGCUGAGAGUCCCUCCCUCCCUUCUCAUGUUGCAGGAAGAACGUAAGCGCCCGCCCCUUGUCAAUCAGUCACCAUAUAAUUUUGGAUUGGUUGUUGUGGUGAAGUUUUCCACCAAUAGGAGAGAUGUUGUGGUGUGUUUUUUUUUUCUUUUGGCAAGCCUUUUCCGCCUGUAAGACCUGUCGCUAAUGUCUGCAUGCUAUGUUUUCCUGUCUCAUACAGCGCUAUCGAGCGCCGAACGUGAUCAAAAUAAGCAGAAAAAAAGUAUCGCGGACAUAAUUUAUCAUAACUCUGGUUUUAUUUGGCCUAUCAACACAAUUUAAAAACUGGUAUAUAGGUUGAGGUCCUCACUUUUGAGAUAAGUUGAAACGGAGAGUCAACGAGGCUCCGUCUUGCAGCUACAUCCGGUUAAAUAUGUCAUGUGACUUGAACGCACACACACACACACACACACACACACACACACACACACACACACUCAGAGUCUGGUUUUUAGCACCUGCAAAAACAUGCUAUUUACAUAUUUGACAAGAAUGCAGAGGCUCCUUUUGCCCCUGAAAAAAAUCAAAUUUCAAACACAACUUGACGGGUCAUUUCUCCAAAAGACAACCAUGAAGCUCCAUCCAAACCUGAAGCAGGCAGUUGGUGCAUGUGUACAGUAACCUGAGGGGAGUGAGGUGAGUGCUUCUGAGGAGAACAUGAGCAGUGAAGAUUCACCUUGGAGCUAGAACAGAGACAUGCACAUGAUUAUACAGGGGCAGGGGCUCAAGUU